UUCUAUUUUCACCGACCAAGCAGGG
RNAcentral lists this non-coding RNA (25 nucleotides) under Mus musculus (house mouse). Lineage: Eukaryota; Metazoa; Chordata; Mammalia; Rodentia; Muridae. The record is from RNAcentral.